RNAcentral lists this transfer RNA (71 nucleotides) under Candidatus Omnitrophota bacterium. RNAcentral's name for it is "tRNA-Gln". It matches the Rfam family "tRNA". From Rfam's summary of the family: Transfer RNA (tRNA) molecules are approximately 80 nucleotides in length. Their secondary structure includes four short double-helical elements and three loops (D, anti-codon, and T loops). The record is from RNAcentral. Lineage: Bacteria; Pseudomonadati; Candidatus Omnitrophota.
UGCCCGGUGGUGUAAUGGUAACACAUCGGCCUUUGGAGCCGUGGAUCAAGGUUCGAGUCCUUGCCGGGCAG